This is a ribosomal RNA of Macrobrachium nipponense, 122 nucleotides long. The record is from RefSeq and is a predicted model, not a curated record. NCBI's taxonomy places the organism in Eukaryota, Metazoa, Arthropoda, Malacostraca, Decapoda, Palaemonidae.
GCCAACGGCCAUACCACGUUGAAAGCACCGCUUCUCGUCCGAUCAGCGAAGUUAAGCAACGUUGGGUCUGGUCAGUACUUGGAUAAUGGGUGACCGCCUGGGAACACCAGAUGCUGUUGGCG